Molecule: ribosomal RNA, 1198 nt
Filed under: Schizothrix sp. SABC022401
Lineage: Bacteria; Bacillati; Cyanobacteriota; Cyanophyceae; Leptolyngbyales; Schizotrichaceae
Description: bacterial SSU rRNA
Rfam family: Bacterial small subunit ribosomal RNA
Source: RNAcentral
GGGACUCCUUGUGGGGAACACAAUUGGAACGACUGCUAAUACCCCAUAUGCCCAGAGGUGAAAGGUUAACUCCCUUAAGGAUGAGCUCCCCUCUGAUUAGCUAGAUUGGGGGGUAAUGGCCUACCAUGGCGACCAUCAGUAGCUGGUCUGAGAGGAUGAUCAGCCACACUGGGACUGAGACACGGCCCAGACUCCUACGGGAGGCAGCAGUGGGGAAUUUUCCGCAAUGGGCGAAAGCCUGACUGAGCAACGCCCGCCGUGAGGGAGGAAGGUCUUUGGAUUGUAAACCUCUUUUCUCUAGGAAGAUAAUGACGGUACUAGAGGAAUCAGCAUCGGCUAACUCCCUGCCAGCAGCCGCCGUAAUACGGGGGAUGCAAGCGUUAUCCGGAAUUAUUGGGCGUAAAGCGUCCGUAGGCGGCUAGAUAAGUCUGUUGUUAAAGCGUGCAGCUCAACUGCAUAAGGGCAAUGGAAACUAUUUAGCUAGAGUGUGGUAGGGGUAGAGGGAAUUCCCGGUGUAGCGGUGAAAUGCGUAGAUAUCGGGAAGAACACCAGUGGCGAAAGCGCUCUGCUGGGCCACAACUGACGCUGAUGGACGAAAGCUAGGGGAGCGAAAGGGAUUAGAUACCCCUGUAGUCCUAGCCGUAAACGAUGAACACUAGGUGUUGUCUGUAUCGACCCGGACAGUGCCGUAGCUAACGCGUUAAGUGUUCCGCCUGGGGAGUACGCACGCAAGUGUGAAACUCAAAGGAAUUGACGGGGGCCCGCACAAGCGGUGGAGUAUGUGGUUUAAUUCGAUGCAACGCGAAGAACCUUACCAGGACUUGACAUCCCUUGAACUUCUCAGAAAUGAGUUGGUGCCUUCGGGAGCAAGGAGACAGGUGGUGCAUGGCUGUCGUCAGCUCGUGUCGUGAGAUGUUGGGUUAAGUCCCGCAACGAGCGCAACCCACGUUUUUAGUUGCCAUCAUUAAGUUGGGCACUCUAGAGAGACUGCCGGUGACAAACCGGAGGAAGGGGUGGAGCGACGUCAAGUCAUCAUGCCCCUUACGUUCUGGGCUACACACGUACUACACAUGCUGUCGGACAGAGGGCAGCGAACUAGCGAUAGUAAGCUAUAUCCCAUAUAACGAGGCUCAGUUCAGAUUGCAGGCUGCAACUCGCCUGCAUGAAGGUGGAAUCGCUAGUAAUCGCAGUCAGCAUC